This 460-nucleotide ribosomal RNA is filed under the name uncultured bacterium. Its description in RNAcentral is "partial 16S ribosomal RNA". It matches the Rfam family "Bacterial small subunit ribosomal RNA", at positions 338 to 795 of the family's 1533-position model. The record is from RNAcentral.
CCUACGGGUGGCAGCAGUGAGGAAUAUUGGUCAAUGGGCGCUAGCCUGAACCAGCCAAGUAGCGUGAAGGAUGACUGCCCUAUGGGUUGUAAACUUCUUUUAUCUGGGAAUAAAGUGCAGUAUGUAUACUGCUUUGCAUGUACCUUAUGAAUAAGGAUCGGCUAACUCCGUGCCAGCAGCCGCGGUAAUACGGAGGAUCCGAGCGUUAUCCGGAUUUAUUGGGUUUAAAGGGAGCGUAGGCGGGUAGUUAAGUCAGUUGUGAAAGUUUGCGGCUCAACCGUAAAAUUGCAGUUGAUACUGGCAUCCUUGAGUACAGUAGAGGUAUGCGGAAUGCGUGGUGUAGCGGUGAAAUGCUUAGAUAUCACGAAGAACUCCGAUUGCGAAGGCAGCAUACCAAAGUGCCACUGACAUUGAUGCACGAAAGUGUGGGUAUCAAACAGGAUUAGAUACCCCUGUAGUC